CAACAGUCCCCCUUCCUUGUUUGAUUACAUGUAAGUGCAUUCAACAGAUAUGAGCUAAGCACUUACUGUAUUCCCUUGUUCCAGAACAAGGGAAUACAUAAAUGAAAGAACUCUAGACUUUAAAGAGCUUAAAUUUUGAAAAGAACGGAUUUUGACACAUAUAUAAACAAGCGUGGCAGAUUAUCCUAAGUGUUUUAUUAAAAGUGUGCAGCCACUGACUAUCAAGUUUCCAAUGAGAUCUGAAUGAGGGAGGGAGCAGGGAGGGAGUGUUCAUCUCAAGCUGAAUGCUGAAAAGUGAAUAGAUAUUUGCUAAACAAUGCGUAACAACACUGUGAAUAAGCAGAAGAGUUGGAGCUCAGGUUUUGAGUAGACCAGAAGAGAAUUGGACAAUGAAGAAGGUAUAUGGAGAGAGAGAGAGAGAGAGAGGAAAGUGUUGAUUCGUCAUUUUUCACAUGCGAAGUUUAAGGAAAAUUGGAAUAAGAUCUGUUACCUUGUCUUAAGUCACUACAGCCAAUUCAGGGAACAAAGAGAAGAAAAUAAACUUUUAAAGAAUUCUCAGGUUCAUUUACAAAGAAACAACUUUUUAUUCCUCCAUGAGCAAUGUGAUUUAGGUCAUAUUGUAAGUUCUUCUUCGUGUUUUUAGCAGAUUUCCUGUAUCUAUGAUUAUUAGUUGACUCAUAAGUAAUUUCCUCCAAGAUUUUAAAAAGUCAGGUAACUGCUCUUUUGCUGCUGGAAGAAUAGCAGCUUACAGUGAUACAGAAAAUGCAAUUCAAUAGCUAAGUUUGAAACAUGAGAUGAGAAACGUGAGCAGAACAUGAGUGUGUGUAGGUGAUUAAUGCCUUGGGCUUCUCUACAGACCUGAAGUCUCUCGGUACACAAAUUACCAUAGGAGACCACCUGUGCCACACUUCCUCACAUUCUCAUGUUGCUAGGAUCUCUCUCUCUCUCUCUCUCUCUCUCUCUCUCUCUCUCUCUCUCUCCAGGCCCUUGUUCUCCAGUGCUGUGCUCUCCUAGUGAUUGACAGUCUGUUUCUUCCCUCACACCUUGUGUUCCUCUCUCUGCCUUUGGCUCCUGCCGUCCCGCUGGUGAUGCAGACAACCCUCUGGGUUCUUGAAUCUUCCUGCUUAGCUCUAAGAAAUACAAACAAAGCCAGAUGUUGUAACUGUGAACUUUCUGUUUAGACACAGUUUGUCAGUUUUUGUGAAAGCACUUUCUGUCAAAAGUCUGUCAUAGGAUUUCAUAAGAAAGAAGAAAAUGUUUAAAAAUGCAAAAUGUGGGCUUGAAUAAUUGAAGGCAGACUCAAAGGAAGGACCUCAAAUGACCAUAGUAAUGAGACGACUAUAAUAAUAACAUAAUGUAUUUGCUUCUCUUGUUGUCACUUUAGGAAAUUGCAGCUUACAGCGAUUAAGUUAAGUGGCCUCAUGUAUGCAUUCAUAAAAGAGUAGAAUCAAGAUUUGAUUCCUUCUGGAACAUCAAGCCUAUGUCCUUUCCUCUACAAAGUCAGUGCUACAACAUGGUGGCAGAUUUUCUAGACUGUUAAAGGUCGGCAUUUCUUGGCCAUCUAGAAAACAUAUUCAGGAAAAAAACCCCAAAACCUUAAAUGUGAAAAAUC
Molecule: long non-coding RNA, 1612 nt
Filed under: Vulpes vulpes (red fox)
Lineage: Eukaryota; Metazoa; Chordata; Mammalia; Carnivora; Canidae
Description: lncRNA (ENSVVUG00000016392.1)
Source: RNAcentral